GAAGGCAUCCCCACGCUACGUGCUCUGCUCCUCCUGCCUCGUUGCGUUUUCGAGGAGGGUUUGUUCCGGGACAAAGUUAGGUGCGGAGAGUUUGAUGGAUCCCUGGUUCCCGGGGCCCUGGAGGGACCCGUGACACACUGCCCUGUGCACCUACACCAUGCGCUGAACUGGAGCGCAGCGGACUCGUGCGCUUUCCCACACGAGCAGCCCUGCUCACUUGGAACGUUGCAAGAAGAAAUUGCUCUGUGGGACUCUCCCCGUGGGGAGAAGGCUUUCUGCAGUCGCAUCUACAGUCCAACCUGGUGGCUUUUGCUUGGCCACGGUGCCCCAGGAUAAACUGGGUUUAACCGGUGGCCUGUAAAAUAGUCUUCAUCAAGAUCUAUGCUUUACAGGAUUCAAAUCUAAGCCUAUUUUACUUUUGAACCAAAGAUCCCAGGCUCGUUGAGGAAAACCAGCCAGCUCCGUGUGUUGCAUUUAAUAUUUUAUUGCUCAUUGGAAGCAAAUCUACUCUCUCUGUCAUCUGAGGCUAUUUUGGGUCUGCACAGAGAAGCACACCUUGCUGAUUGGCAGCAACGCAUCCCCUGCAGUGUUCACAAUGACUCACGUGUCCUACUGUCCCACCUGUCAGAGAAUUCCUAACAGAGGCCGGCCUACUUAAAAGAAAAGACUGAAAUGAAUUUGGUGGGGGAAAGAAAUAUUCAUCCAGGGAAUCCCCGGAUUCCCUAGCACUGACCAAAAAGGAAUGAAUGUGACUCUCUAGGGAGGGGAAGCAGGCCUCCUCUCCACAGGGAAAUGCCUCAUCAGUUUUGUGACCUAUUGUCAACAAUGCUGAACUAUGUCUGCCCUGUAGACACUUUACCUGUUGUCUGUGUGGUGAAUGUGGUGACACACCUAUUUCCAGUGUGAUAUUUGCUUUUACACCAAGGCGCUUGUCAUUUGUCUGAACGUCUUUAAAGCCGAUGUCACAGUUGUGACCCAGUAAGUUUAGAAGUUGUGCC
This 998-nucleotide long non-coding RNA is filed under the name Cricetulus griseus (Chinese hamster). Its description in RNAcentral is "lncRNA (ENSCGRG00015043207.1)". Lineage: Eukaryota; Metazoa; Chordata; Mammalia; Rodentia; Cricetidae. The record is from RNAcentral.